Eriocheir sinensis (Chinese mitten crab) is the source of this 1091-nucleotide long non-coding RNA. RefSeq lists it as uncharacterized. Lineage: Eukaryota; Metazoa; Arthropoda; Malacostraca; Decapoda; Varunidae. The transcript is spliced from 5 exons. The record is from RefSeq and is a predicted model, not a curated record.
CCGUUUCCCUGCACAAUCAACAUGUAUUAUUUCCUCUUUAUGGCUGAAAUACGUAUAAUAAGAGACACCUAGACCUAUUGAUGUAUACUUUAGAGCACGGAGAUAGCUUUGAGACCAUGGAAAUACACAUAGAAAAGAAAAAUAAAGAGAAAUAAGGAAAGAAAAGACAACCAGUGGCAAGACUCAGACCAUUUCCCCGGAGACUCAACAUGGCUGUGUGGCGAGAGAGGCUUCGUGUGGUCCCGGGAGGAAGCAACUCAACGCCUGAUGCAGCACAGUGUUAGUAUUGCCUGAGAGGAUUUGGACCACCAGCGUGAUAAUGCACUACCUGAGAAGACCAGCCUGCCCCUCUCUUUGGACACACAUGAUGGUUGCAGAGAGGUGGACAUGUGGACCCGGGAGAGCAUUGACCUCCUCCUGUGGGUCAUAUUUACCUGCGGAUGACUGGCCAGCUUGAGGGGCGGGAUAUAGCUUGGCGGGACACGCAUAAUAACACUACAUCAUAUCCUCACCGUGACCUCCUUGGCAGCUGUGAGUGUUUGGGUCAGCACGGGAGCCACCAGUCAGCAGGGCGGCAGAUAAGGAGCAUAUGAAGGCCCUCGCCCCUCACCGUGACCUCCUUGGCAGCUGUAAGCACGGGAGCCAUCUGUCAGCAGGGCGGCAGAUAAGGAGCAUAUGAAGGCCCUCGCCCCUCACCGUGACCUCCUUGGCAGCUGUAAGCACGGGAGCCAUCUGUCAGCAGGGCGGCAGAUAAGGAGCAUAUGAAGGCCCUCGCCCCUCACCGUGACCUCCUUGGCAGCUGUAAGCACGGGAGCCAUCUGUCAGCAGGGCGGCAGAUAAGGAGCAUAUGAAGGCCCUCGCCACAGAACGCACCUCUCAUUAACAGGUGUGGAGCUGGAGUCUGUCGUCCCGCUCCCGUGUCACAGCGCUCAAAGCAGCAGCUUCCACUUCCUGGAUGGUUGCGUCCUGGCACCCUGCUGUGGGACAAGCCAGCCGCCAGUGACCCGUCGGGUACAACCUGUGAAACAGAAGAACAGCUGAGGAGCAACUUUGAAUGCUUGGAGGACAAUAAAUAAAAAUGUAAGGGACAC